UAAGUAAUGUGAAUUGCAGAAUUCAGUGAAUCAUCGAAUCUUUGAACGCACCUUGCACUCUCUGGUAUUCCGGAGAGUACGCCUGUUUGAGUGUCAUG
RNAcentral lists this ribosomal RNA (98 nucleotides) under Udeniomyces kanasensis. RNAcentral's name for it is "5.8S ribosomal RNA". It matches the Rfam family "5.8S ribosomal RNA", at positions 59 to 154 of the family's 154-position model. From Rfam's summary of the family: 5.8S ribosomal RNA (5.8S rRNA) is a component of the large subunit of the eukaryotic ribosome. It is transcribed by RNA polymerase I as part of the 45S precursor that also contains 18S and 28S rRNA. The record is from RNAcentral. Lineage: Eukaryota; Fungi; Basidiomycota; Tremellomycetes; Cystofilobasidiales; Mrakiaceae.